This 233-nucleotide ribosomal RNA is filed under the name uncultured bacterium. RNAcentral describes it as "partial 16S ribosomal RNA". It matches the Rfam family "Bacterial small subunit ribosomal RNA", at positions 16 to 239 of the family's 1533-position model. The record is from RNAcentral.
GACAUGGCUCAGGAUGAACGCUAGCUACAGGCUUAACACAUGCAAGUCGAGGGGCAGCAUGGUCUUAGCUUGCUAAGGCCGAUGGCGACCGGCGCACGGGUGAGUAACGCGUAUCCAACCUGCCUUACACUCUUGGACAGCCUUCUGAAAGGGAGAUUAAUACAAGAUGUUAUCAUGAGUAAGCAUUUUCACAUGAUUAAAGGUUUACCGGUGUAAGAUGGGGAGUGCGUUCC